RNAcentral lists this ribosomal RNA (422 nucleotides) under uncultured bacterium. Its description in RNAcentral is "bacterial SSU rRNA". It matches the Rfam family "Bacterial small subunit ribosomal RNA", at positions 355 to 774 of the family's 1533-position model. The record is from RNAcentral.
UAGGGAAUAUUGGGCAAUGGAGGCAACUCUGACCCAGCCACGCCGCGUGGAGGAUGAAGGUGCUAUGCAUCGUAAACUUCUUUUGUCAAGGGAGAAAGUGCUUGAUUUAUCGAGUUUUGACGGUACUUGGCGAAUAAGCAUCGGCUAACUACGUGCCAGCAGCCGCGGUAAUACGUAGGAUGCAAGCGUUAUCCGGAAUCACUGGGUUUAAAGGGUCUGUAGGCGGUAUCAUAAGUCAGUGGUGAAAUAUCUGGGCUUAACUUGGAGGGUGCCAUUGAUACUGUAGUACUUGAGAUAGAAUGACGUGGGCGGAAUGUGUCAUGUAGCGGUGAAAUGCUUAGAGAUGACACAGAACACCGAUUGCGAAGGCAGCUCACGAAGCCUUAUCUGACGCUGAGGGACGAAAGCGUGGGGAGCAAACA